Molecule: long non-coding RNA, 511 nt
Organism: Megalobrama amblycephala (Wuchang bream)
Lineage: Eukaryota; Metazoa; Chordata; Actinopteri; Cypriniformes; Xenocyprididae
Exons: 3
Source: RefSeq, a predicted model, not a curated record
AUCGUGUCACUUUAGAACACUUGGAAGAGACCAGCGAUUCAUACAUUACUGUUUUUUGCGAUGACUUUUUGAAACGUUUUGGUGAAUCGUCUUUCAUCGGAGGGAUAUAAAUCUCUGAGAUUUCAUUAAAAUAUCUCAGUUUUUCUUUCAUGUGUCUUUUGGAACCCCGUUAUUUUGUGACUCCAGCUACAUUCAAUUUGACCAAUCAGACGCGAUCAGAUGAAGAUGCUGCACGCAGAAGUUACUGAUCCUGUGAUAAAGCAGCCUUCAAAUAGUACAGUGUCUGAAUUACAAGCCCUCAGUUGCGGAAAAUGUAAGUUGUGCUCAAAGAAGUGACCCUCCACUUGAAGAUGAAGAUGUGAUAUUUAAACUCUUUUGUUUCUUUGUUUGGUUCAGGCAUUUGCAUUUUUACAUUUGUUAAAAAAAAUGCACUUCACUUCUGUUGUUUGUUUUUCAGUGACUUUUUCAGAAAAUUGCAUUGUAAUUCUUAUUCACUGAUGUAAAAUUCUGU